CCUACGGGUGGCAGCAGUGAGGAAUAUUGGUCAAUGGGCGGAAGCCUGAACCAGCCAAGCCGCGUGAGGGAAGAAUGUACUGUGUGUCGUAAACCUCUUUUGUCAGGGAAAAAAGACUGGUACCUGUCCCCGGAUGCCCGUCCCUGAAGAAUAAGCAUCGGCUAACUCCGUGCCAGCAGCCGCGGUAAUACGGAGGAUGCGCGCGUUAUCCGGAUUUAUUGGGGUUAAGGGGUGCGAAGGCGGUAUGUUAAGUCAGCGGUCAAACGCCGGGGCUUAACCUGGGUUCGCCGUUGAAACUGGCAGACUAGAGUACGAGAGAGGUAGGCGGAAUGCGUGGAGUAGCGGUGAAAUGCAUAGAUAUCACGCAGAACACCGAUUGCGAAGGCAGCAUGCCGGAUUGACACUGACGCUGAGGCACGAAAGCGUGGGUAGCGAACAGGAUUAGAUACCCCAGUAGUC
This 459-nucleotide ribosomal RNA is filed under the name uncultured bacterium. RNAcentral's name for it is "partial 16S ribosomal RNA". It matches the Rfam family "Bacterial small subunit ribosomal RNA", at positions 338 to 795 of the family's 1533-position model. The record is from RNAcentral.